This 425-nucleotide ribosomal RNA is filed under the name uncultured bacterium. RNAcentral's name for it is "bacterial SSU rRNA". It matches the Rfam family "Bacterial small subunit ribosomal RNA", at positions 28 to 488 of the family's 1533-position model. The record is from RNAcentral.
GAUGAACGCUGGCGGUAUGCCUAACACAUGCAAGUCGUACGAGAGUUUUUAACUCUAGUGGCGGACGGGUGAGUAACACGUGAGAAUUUGCCUUUAGGAGGGGGAUAACAAUUGGAAACGAAUGCUAAUACCCCAUAUGCUUUUGAGUGAAAUGGAUUUUAUCCGCCUAGAGAGAAGCUCGCGGCUGAUUAGCUUGUUGGUAAGGUAAGAGCUUACCAAGGCGACGAUCAGUAUCUGGUUUGAGAGGACGAUCAGACACACUGGAACUGAGACACGGUCCAGACUCCUACGGGAGGCAGCAGUGGGGAAUUUUGGACAAUGGGCGCAAGCCUGAUCCAGCCAUGCCGCGUGCGGGAAGAAGGCCUUCGGGUUGUAAACCGCUUUGUCAGGGAAGAAAUACUUCUGGGUCUAAUACCUCGGGAGGA